AGCUCUUUCAAGUGGUCGGGAUAAUUAUUGGGCUUAAAGUGUCCGUAGCCGGUUUAGUAAGUUCCUGGUAAAAUCGGGUAGCUUAACUAUCUGCAUGCUAGGAAUACUGCUAAACUAGAGGGCGGGAGAGGUCUGAGGUGCUACAGGGGUAGGGGUGAAAUCUUAUAAUCCUUGUAGGACCACCAGUGGCGAAGGCGUCAGACUGGAACGUGCCUGACGGUGAGGGACGAAAGCCAGGGGAGCGAACCGGAUUAGAUACCCGGGGUAGUCCUGGCCGUAAACGAUGCAUACUAGGUGAUGGCAUGGCCCAUGAGCCGUGUCAGUGCCGUAGGGAAACCGUUAAGUGUGCCGCCUGGGGAAGUACGGUCGCAAGGCUAA
Molecule: ribosomal RNA, 378 nt
Filed under: uncultured organism
Description: partial 16S ribosomal RNA
Rfam family: Archaeal small subunit ribosomal RNA
Source: RNAcentral